Molecule: long non-coding RNA, 531 nt
Filed under: Felis catus (domestic cat)
Lineage: Eukaryota; Metazoa; Chordata; Mammalia; Carnivora; Felidae
Description: lncRNA (ENSFCAG00000041237.2)
Source: RNAcentral
GAUACUAGAACAUGCAGUAUGUUGAUCUUGACAGUUUAUCCCAUGUUAAUUAUGUGUUUGUGUCUGUGUUUUCUGUCACAUUGCAGGUGUAAACUGAAAGAAACCCAAAGGUUGAUGGUGUUACCGAGAAAGGAGGCAUGGAUUACAUAAAGGUGAAACUAUUUCUGCAGCAGAGUUCUGUGAGAAAAUUACAUUUGCUGCAGUCGGGAGACAACUGUUUCCAAGUUUGCAAGUCUCAAGGUGAAUGAUUUCAACAUACAAAGAGUCUGGGAUACGUUGGUUUGCUUCGGAGAAUCAAAAAGACUGGAUGCAGACUGUGGAGAAAACGAAGGUGGGAUCAAGGCACCAACCUGCUGCCUCAGCUGGCAGGGUCACUUGUGUGUUCCAGGCUUGAGAUUCUUUGUAUAGCUGCAGGGUUGUGGUCUUUCCUGAACUUCUGACUUAUAACAUUCCCAGAAGACACGUGAUACUAGUAAUAACAAGAAAACACAAGUAAGUUAGAACCUGCCAUUUCAAAACAUUCAUUUUCUG